RNAcentral lists this ribosomal RNA (253 nucleotides) under uncultured bacterium. RNAcentral's name for it is "partial 16S ribosomal RNA". It matches the Rfam family "Bacterial small subunit ribosomal RNA", at positions 524 to 776 of the family's 1533-position model. The record is from RNAcentral.
UACAGAGGUCCCAAGCGUUGUUCGGAUUUACUGGGCGUAAAGGGUGCGUAGGUGGCGGGGUAAGUCGGAUGUGAAAUCUCCAGGCUCAACCUGGAAAUGGCAUUGGAAACUACCUUGCUGGAGAGUUGGAGGGGGGACUGGAAUACUUGGUGUAGCAGUGAAAUGCGUAGAUAUCAAGUGGAACACCAGUGGCGAAGGCGAGUCCCUGGACAGCUUCUGACGCUGAGGCACGAAAGCUAGGGGAGCAAACAGG